UGUCAAUUCACAAUUGCUAUAAAAUAAUUUGGUGUUGUUCAAUUGAUUGCUCUGUUUCAGUGAAGCAAACUGCAUUUCCAGAUUUAGAGCGCACCAUCUGUUAUAGAGUCCAUCAGUGAUUCUGAAGCCAUGUGAUGAUCUAGAUCCAUGCUAUGCAAUGUGAGAUCCAGUGAUAAGCUGCAUCAGCAUCCCCUACAAGCUUGCUAGAAUCAUGGACCCUCUCCAGACCCUACUAAAUCAAAAUCUGCACUUGACCAGGAUCCCAAAAAGAUCUAUAAGUUCCCCAGCACAUCAAUAUUUGAGAUGCUUGAGAAGCACUGCUCUGGAUCAAUGAUUUUUGUUUCCUUCCUUCUCCUUUCCCGUCC
This 365-nucleotide long non-coding RNA is filed under the name Pan troglodytes (chimpanzee). Its description in RNAcentral is "long non-coding RNA NONPTRT009123". The record is from RNAcentral. Lineage: Eukaryota; Metazoa; Chordata; Mammalia; Primates; Hominidae.